RNAcentral lists this small RNA (701 nucleotides) under Pongo abelii (Sumatran orangutan). RNAcentral describes it as "processed transcript". The record is from RNAcentral. Lineage: Eukaryota; Metazoa; Chordata; Mammalia; Primates; Hominidae.
CCUUCAUGUUCUGCCAUGAUUGUGAGGCCUCCCCAGCCAUGUGGAACUUUGCUCCGCUCUGCUGCUGAUUGGUCUGCUGGUAUAAAGUACCAUGAAGAGUCCAUCCAUGCCGCUUACGUCUAUGUGAUAGAGAACAGCAGGCACUAUAUCUAUAUCGAAAACCAGUUUUUCAUAAGCUGUGCUGAUGACAAAGUUGUGUUCAACAAGAUAGGCGAUGCCAUUGCCCAGAGGAUUCUGAAAGCUCACAGGGAAAACCAGAAAUACCGGGUAUAUGUCGUGAUACCGCUUCUGCCAGGGUUCGAAGGAGACAUUUCAACCGGCGGAGGAAAUGCUCUACAGGCAAUCAUGCACUUCAACUACAGAACCAUGUGCAGAGGAGAAAAUUCCAUCCUUGGACAGUUAAAAGCAGAGCUUGGUAAUCAGUGGAUAAAUUACAUAUCAUUCUGUGGUCUUAGAACACAUGCAGAGCUUGAAGGAAACCUAGUCACUGAGCUUAUCUAUGUCCACAGCAAGUUGUUAAUUGCUGAUGAUAACACUGUUAUUAUUGGCUCUGCCAACAUAAAUGACCGCAGCAUGCUGGGAAAGCGUGACAGUGAAAUGGCUGUCAUCGUGCAAGAUACAGAGACUGUUCCUUCAGUAAUGGAUGGAGAAGAGUACCAAGCUGGCCGGUUUGCCCAAGGACUUCGGCUACAGUGCUUUAG